This 750-nucleotide ribosomal RNA is filed under the name uncultured Acinetobacter sp. RNAcentral's name for it is "bacterial SSU rRNA". It matches the Rfam family "Bacterial small subunit ribosomal RNA", at positions 19 to 764 of the family's 1533-position model. Lineage: Bacteria; Pseudomonadati; Pseudomonadota; Gammaproteobacteria; Moraxellales; Moraxellaceae. The record is from RNAcentral.
UAACGUCAGAUGAACGCUGGCGGCAGGCUUAACACAUGCAAGUCGAGCGGGGGAAGGUAGCUUGCUACCGGACCUAGCGGCGGACGGGUGAGUAAUGCUUAGGAAUCUGCCUAUUAGUGGGGGACAACAUCUCGAAAGGGAUGCUAAUACCGCAUACGUCCUACGGGAGAAAGCAGGGGAUCUUCGGACCUUGCGCUAAUAGAUGAGCCUAAGUCGGAUUAGCUAGUUGGUGGGGUAAAGGCCUACCAAGGCGACGAUCUGUAGCGGGUCUGAGAGGAUGAUCCGCCACACUGGGACUGAGACACGGCCCAGACUCCUACGGGAGGCAGCAGUGGGGAAUAUUGGACAAUGGGGGGAACCCUGAUCCAGCCAUGCCGCGUGUGUGAAGAAGGCCUUAUGGUUGUAAAGCACUUUAAGCGAGGAGGAGGCUACUUUAGUUAAUACCUAGAGAUAGUGGACGUUACUCGCAGAAUAAGCACCGGCUAACUCUGUGCCAGCAGCCGCGGUAAUACAGAGGGUGCGAGCGUUAAUCGGAUUUACUGGGCGUAAAGCGUGCGUAGGCGGCUUAUUAAGUCGGAUGUGAAAUCCCCGAGCUUAACUUGGGAAUUGCAUUCGAUACUGGUGAGCUAGAGUAUGGGAGAGGAUGGUAGAAUUCCAGGUGUAGCGGUGAAAUGCGUAGAGAUCUGGAGGAAUACCGAUGGCGAAGGCAGCCAUCUGGCCUAAUACUGACGCUGAGGUACGAAAGACCGC